GAUGAACGCUGGCGGCGUGCCUAAUACAUGCAAGUCGAGCGAACAGACGAGGAGCUUGCUCCUCUGACGUUAGCGGCGGACGGGUGAGUAACACGUGGAUAACCUACCUAUAAGACUGGGAUAACUUCGGGAAACCGGAGCUAAUACCGGAUAAUAUAUUGAACCGCAUGGUUCGAUAGUGAAAGACGGUUUUGCUGUCACUUAUAGAUGGAUCCGCGCCGCAUUAGCUAGUUGGUAAGGUAACGGCUUACCAAGGCAACGAUGCGUAGCCGACCUGAGAGGGUGCUCGGCCCACGUGGACCUGAGCCCCGGCCCGACCCCCUAGGGGAGGCACAGGGAGGGAUUCUUCCGCAAGGGGCGAAACCCGUCAGGAGCAACGCCGGGGGAGUAAUGAAGGUCUUCGGUUCGAAAAACUCUUUUAUUGGGGAAAAACAAAUGUGUAAGUAAAUAUGCCCGUCUGGCGGGUACCUAAUCAAAAGGCCCCGGCUACCUACGU
Molecule: ribosomal RNA, 496 nt
Filed under: uncultured bacterium
Lineage: Bacteria
Description: partial 16S ribosomal RNA
Rfam family: Bacterial small subunit ribosomal RNA
Source: RNAcentral